RNAcentral lists this ribosomal RNA (459 nucleotides) under uncultured bacterium. RNAcentral's name for it is "partial 16S ribosomal RNA". It matches the Rfam family "Bacterial small subunit ribosomal RNA", at positions 338 to 795 of the family's 1533-position model. The record is from RNAcentral.
CCUACGGGUGGCAGCAGUGAGGAAUAUUGGUCAAUGGGCGCAAGCCUGAACCAGCCAAGUCGCGUGAGGGAAGACGGCCCUACGGGUUGUAAACCUCUUUUGUCGGGGAGCAAAGCGAGUCACGUGUGACUCAUUGAGAGUACCCGAAGAAAAAGCAUCGGCUAACUCCGUGCCAGCAGCCGCGGUAAUACGGAGGAUGCGAGCGUUAUCCGGAUUUAUUGGGUUUAAAGGGUGCGCAGGCGGAGGAGCAAGUCAGCGGUAAAAUUGCGGGGCUCAACCCCGUAGUGCCGUUGAAACUGGUUUACUUGAGUGCGUGAGAAGUAUGCGGAAUGCGUGGUGUAGCGGUGAAAUGCAUAGAUAUCACGCAGAACUCCGAUUGCGAAGGCAGCAUACCGGCGCGCAACUGACGCUCAUGCACGAAAGCGUGGGUAUCGAACAGGAUUAGAUACCCCGGUAGUC